CAAGCUUCCUAUUUCCUCCCACCUCUCACACCCUCUCAGCUUCCUGAGAUGAAUAGAAAAUCACCUGAAAAACAGACUGUUCUUUGGUCAUUAUUCAUGCCCCUGAUAUCUUGUUAAGGGCUCCAGAACCCCACAUUGCUGGAAACAGCCACACUCUGAGAGAAACCCACACAAACAUUCAGCAUCCAAUAACCCUUCCUUCUCAUCCAUUUGCUGAUGCUAUUGUUUCCUGCAAAAGGCUUCCAUCUCCUCUCUCAAUGUCUUUCCUCCAUGCCUAGAAUGCUCUCCCUCCUUGCAUCUCUCUCUUAGAAUUUCUGGCUUCUUCAGUAUUCAGCUGAUUCACCAUCUAAAAAGGCAACACAAAUGGGAACUGAAAAGAGGUGAAGGGAGGUAACCAUGGAGGUAUAUGAGAGGAGAGAAUUGUCUGAUAGCAGCAUGCUGGGCCUUUUGGCAUCUUAGUGUGGCUACAAGCUAUUGUCCAGUUCUACGGAAGUCAUUGAAAGUGUCAACCCUUGUGACCAUGAUAUCAAGAAGAAGAGGGCAUGAUGGCAGUAAAUUUGGAGAAUAAUAAAACGAAGACCUAUGGUUCAUUUUAGUUCACAAUCAGAGCAUGAGGGAAUAAUUUAGUCUUAAAGAAGUAAUGUUAAUUAUGCUAAUGUUAAUGUUAAUUUUGGACAGCAAACCAGAAAUCCUUGAAUGAUAGUUUGUUUAGUUUACAUUGUUUAGUUAGGAAAAAAAUUCUUGAGAGACUUAGGAAAUUUGAAGAGAAUCUGGAGGAUAGAGAAAACAGAUUCUGGACAAUAAGAUGAAUAAAAAACUAAUGUGAAC
This 828-nucleotide long non-coding RNA is filed under the name Monodelphis domestica (gray short-tailed opossum). RNAcentral describes it as "lncRNA (ENSMODG00000038039.1)". The record is from RNAcentral. Lineage: Eukaryota; Metazoa; Chordata; Mammalia; Didelphimorphia; Didelphidae.